RNAcentral lists this unclassified non-coding RNA (238 nucleotides) under Hevea brasiliensis (rubber tree). Lineage: Eukaryota; Viridiplantae; Streptophyta; Magnoliopsida; Malpighiales; Euphorbiaceae. The record is from RNAcentral.
AUGGUAUUGAGGUAAGCUUGCCAAUUUGAAGCCAGUAUAUUCUUGCAUCUUUCGGCUAGAGUUAAGACUGUAGCUUUGCUGCCUUUCAUGAUUCCUUCCAUUCUAGAUUUCUGCACGCUAAAUGCUCGAUGAAAUUACUCCUUCAGAGACUCAGCGCGGGAUGCCCAGGUGGGAAAAGAAAUAAUCCGGGUUUGGGCCCUGACUCGGAUUCGGAUCGCACUCCAAAUCUAAGUCGACU